GUGUCAGCAGCCGCGGUAAUACGUAGGGUCCGAGCGUUGUCCGGAGUUACUGGGCGUAAAGCGCGCGCAGGCGGCCGUCCAAGCCCGGCGUGAAAGCCCUCGGCUCAACCGAGGAACGUCGUCGGGGACUGGGGGGCUUGAGAGCGGCAGGGGUCGGUGGAAUUCCCGGUGUAGUGGUGAAAUGCGUAGAGAUCGGGAGGAACACCCGUGGCGAAGGCGGCCGACUGGGCCGACUCUGACGCUGAGGCGCGAAGGCGUGGGGAGCGAACGGGAUUAGAUACCCCGGUAGUCC
Molecule: ribosomal RNA, 292 nt
Filed under: uncultured bacterium
Lineage: Bacteria
Description: partial 16S ribosomal RNA
Rfam family: Bacterial small subunit ribosomal RNA
Source: RNAcentral